UUGGAAAUAAGGACAUUAAAUUCAAGC
RNAcentral lists this non-coding RNA (27 nucleotides) under Cricetulus griseus (Chinese hamster). The record is from RNAcentral. Lineage: Eukaryota; Metazoa; Chordata; Mammalia; Rodentia; Cricetidae.